GGUGUACUAGACCAGUGGUAUCGAGGUGACCUAUUGUUGAUGGGUGGCCGACCGGGAGGUGGAGACCGACGGGGUGAUCGUGACGCCGGUGAGCCG
RNAcentral lists this transfer RNA (96 nucleotides) under Planobispora rosea. RNAcentral describes it as "tRNA-Asn". Lineage: Bacteria; Bacillati; Actinomycetota; Actinomycetes; Streptosporangiales; Streptosporangiaceae. The record is from RNAcentral.